GUUAAAUUGUUGUAUCUGCAUCCAAUAUUGUGAGCUGUUGUUGUACCUUUCUGGUCAUGUGCAAGCGCUAGCUCCUAAUGAACAAGACAAGAACAAACAUUGGGGUGUCUUUAGCAUCAUAAAUGAUGAAAAAAAAACAACUGAAUCUACAAAGGCGUGGCGCAUAAACUAGGCAUUCACAAUAGUUAUUUCUUAAAGCAUGAUGGAUGUGGUUAGAAAAAAAUCUCCUAACUUUAGUGAUUUCCCAUUGCUAUCUUAAGUACACAGUCCUCAAAUAUUUCUUCUAAUGAUUAUGACCAUUCUAUUGCCUAAGUAAAUACAUACCAACAUGUGUAGUUUACUUGGGUUGUCUCAUACAUAUCUCAAACAGGUCCCUUGGAAAUCUCUCCCCUUCACUCCCCUCCUUUCCCAUUCCCCCAUUGUUCAUUAUUGACUUCAAUGUUGUGAAUCUUGUGAUAGAUGUCUAGAAUAACUAGACAAAUAGUUGGAGAAAUGACUACGUUGUAUGUAGUGUAGAAGGUGCACCAAUUGUCAGAGUACGGGGAAAUAGAGAACCAGGUAAGAUGGCCUGAUAUGUUCAGCAUUGAAUAGGGAGGUCCUAGAAAGAGCUGUUUGAUUCUUUCUCAAAUGGCCCAGAAAGGUAGUUUCUAUGGUAAGACACAUGAGAAUUGUAAGAAUCCAUUUUGGUUAAGCUUGCAAUAAUGCUUGAGGUAGCCGAUACUAGGAAAUGAUUUGUGACCAAACAUUGAUAAAGUUGAACAGGGCUUGAUGGUAAUUGUGAUUGUUAUCAUGUUGACUUUCAGCAAAUAACAGCCCCUUGUCACUUAAAUUUCUUCCUCAAUCUGAAUUUCUAAAAUAACAUAUAAUCCUAUUUUAUGAAAGUACGGAACAUUAUUGCAUGCGAUUACCCUAGUGACGCUUCGGAAACUUGCAGGGUUCCCAUAGAAAUCAUGCGUGCGCAUCAUCAUCUAUAAGUUAGUAAACUGAUUUGGAUGAUCAGCAUUGACUGGGCCUUUAUAAUCAAUAGUUGCUUCUAUUUUGAGUAAAGCAAGAAUCUCUCUGUUGGGGGAAGCAUUUCCGCGGGCCAUACGCUUAAACGAUGCUUAUUGGAUUGGCUGACUCACUGGCA
This 1129-nucleotide long non-coding RNA is filed under the name Phoenix dactylifera (date palm). RNAcentral's name for it is "long non-coding RNA (PDAC_LNC015795)". Lineage: Eukaryota; Viridiplantae; Streptophyta; Magnoliopsida; Arecales; Arecaceae. The record is from RNAcentral.